This 466-nucleotide ribosomal RNA is filed under the name uncultured bacterium. RNAcentral's name for it is "partial 16S ribosomal RNA". It matches the Rfam family "Bacterial small subunit ribosomal RNA", at positions 30 to 507 of the family's 1533-position model. The record is from RNAcentral.
CGAACGCUGGCGGCGUGCUUAACACAUGCAAGUCGAACGGAAAGGCCCUGCUUUUGUGGGGUGCUCGAGUGGCGAACGGGUGAGUAACACGUGAGUAACCUGCCCUUGACUUUGGGAUAACUUCAGGAAACUGGGGCUAAUACCGGAUAGGAGCUCCUGCUGCAUGGUGGGGGUUGGAAAGUUUCGGCGGUUGGGGAUGGACUCGCGGCUUAUCAGCUUGUUGGUGGGGUAGUGGCUUACCAAGGCUUUGACGGGUAGCCGGCCUGAGAGGGUGACCGGCCACAUUGGGACUGAGAUACGGCCCAGCCUCCUACGGGAGGCAGCAGUGGGGAAUAUUGCACAAUGGGCGGAAGCCUGAUGCAGCAACGCCGCGUGCGGGAUGACGGCCUUCGGGUUGUAAACCGCUUUCGCCUGUGACGAAGCGUGAGUGACGGUAAUGGGUAAAGAAGCACCGGCUAACUACGUG